CCGGUCCCAGAGCAAAACCAAAAAAAAUUUAAUUUCUGUUCAGAAUUUUUCAGAAAUUUUAUAUAAUAUCCUCAAAAUGUCCAACAUCAAAAAUACUCAAUUUCCAUCCCCAAUGACUUCCAAUAAAAUUUCAUAAAUAAAUUUUGAAAAAUUAAUUUUAAAGAUACUCAAUUUGUCAAAAAUUGUUGAUCCGAAAAUCAAAUAAAAUUCUUGAUAAGUAACAAAUAAAAUUCCACACAUCAUGCAAGAUCUAAAAAUUGAUUGUAUUGU
RNAcentral lists this long non-coding RNA (270 nucleotides) under Ananas comosus (pineapple). Its description in RNAcentral is "long non-coding RNA (ACOM_LNC043228)". The record is from RNAcentral. Lineage: Eukaryota; Viridiplantae; Streptophyta; Magnoliopsida; Poales; Bromeliaceae.